Molecule: ribosomal RNA, 520 nt
Filed under: uncultured bacterium
Lineage: Bacteria
Description: bacterial SSU rRNA
Rfam family: Bacterial small subunit ribosomal RNA
Source: RNAcentral
GAGCGACGCCGCGUGGGUGAUGAAGAUCCUCGGAUCGUAAAACCCUGUCAGGUGGGAUGAAACACCAUUCGGUUAAUACCCGAGUGGCUUGACAGUACCACCAGAGGAAGCUCCGGCCAACUCCGUGCCAGCAGCCGCGGUAACACGGGGGGAGCAAGCGUUGUUCGGAUUCAUUGGGCGUAAAGAGCUCGUAGGCGGCUCUAUAAGUCGGGAGUGAAAGACCACGGCUCAACCGUGGAAACGCUUUCGAAACUGCGGAGCUUGAGGCCGGGAGAGGAGAUUGGAAUUCCUGGUGUAGCGGUGAAAUGCGUAGAUAUCAGGAGGAACACCCGUGGCGAAGGCGAAUCUCUGGACCGGUUCUGACGCUGAGGAGCGAAAGCUAGGGGAGCAAACAGGAUUAGAUACCCUGGUAGUCCUAGCUGUAAACGAUGGGCACUAGGUGGUGGGGGGAUCGACCCCUUCCGUGCCGCAGUUAACGCAUUAAGUCGCCCCGCCGUGGGGAGUACGACCGCAAGGUUAG